Humulus lupulus (European hop) is the source of this 357-nucleotide long non-coding RNA. RefSeq lists it as uncharacterized. Lineage: Eukaryota; Viridiplantae; Streptophyta; Magnoliopsida; Rosales; Cannabaceae. The record is from RefSeq and is a predicted model, not a curated record. The transcript has 3 exons.
CAACUUCACCAUUCUUUCACCAACUAACCAAUCCAUAUUUGUUCCAAGUCUGGCUUACCACAAUCCCAGCUUCAGCUCAAGUGCACAUUUUUCUUCUAUAUGAGGCUUUAUGUACACUGAAAAUUUGAGACUGGAAUUGUUUAGAAUUCUAUAUUUAUGAAAGAAGCUCUUGAUUCCCAAUUAUGAUUUCAGAUGAUGAUGUGGCACAGCUGUAAAGAAAGCCUCUGUUUUGGAAGACUGACUGGAGUUUCAUUAAAUGCCCAGUUUCCACAAGUUUUAUGCUCUACUAAAUUCUUCAGGUGUGUUUAAUUACUAUUUACAGUUUGGGUUCACACUGGUAAAUCACUUCUUAUGUGU